GCCGCUUUGGUGGAAUGGUAGACACAUAACUUUCAAAAAGUUACGAAGAAAUUCGUAUCGGUUCAAGUCCGAUAAGCGGCA
This 81-nucleotide transfer RNA is filed under the name Marvania geminata. Its description in RNAcentral is "tRNA-Leu". It matches the Rfam family "tRNA". Rfam says of the family: Transfer RNA (tRNA) molecules are approximately 80 nucleotides in length. Their secondary structure includes four short double-helical elements and three loops (D, anti-codon, and T loops). The record is from RNAcentral. Lineage: Eukaryota; Viridiplantae; Chlorophyta; Trebouxiophyceae; Chlorellales; Chlorellaceae.